AUUGAACGCUGACGGCGUGCUUAACACAUGCAAGUCGAUCGGUAACAGGUGUAGCAAUACAUGCUGACGAGAGGCGGACGGGUGAGUAAUGCUUGGGAAUCUGCCUAUUAGUGGGGGACAACCCGGGGAAACUCGGGCUAAUACCGCAUACGCUCUACGGAGGAAAGCCGGGGACCGCAAGGCCUGGCGCUAAUAGAUGAGCCCAAGUCGGAUUAGCUAGUUGGUAGGGAACGGCCUACCAAGGCGACAAUCCGUAGCUGGUCUGAGAGGACGACCAGCCACACCGGAACUGAGACACGGUCCGGGACUCCUACGGGAGGCAGCAGUGGGGAAUAUUGGACAAUGGGGCAACCCUGAUCCAGCGACGCCGCGUGGGUGAAGAAGGCCUGCGGGUUGUAAAGCCCUUUCGGUGGGGAAGAAAAGUCUCGACCUAUACGUCGGGACCUUGACGUAACCCACUAAAGAAGCACCGGCUAACUCUGUGCCAGCAGCCGCGGUAAC
This 501-nucleotide ribosomal RNA is filed under the name uncultured bacterium. RNAcentral describes it as "bacterial SSU rRNA". It matches the Rfam family "Bacterial small subunit ribosomal RNA", at positions 29 to 524 of the family's 1533-position model. The record is from RNAcentral.